Molecule: ribosomal RNA, 253 nt
Filed under: uncultured bacterium
Lineage: Bacteria
Description: partial 16S ribosomal RNA
Rfam family: Bacterial small subunit ribosomal RNA
Source: RNAcentral
UACAGAGGGUGCGAGCGUUAAUCGGAAUUACUGGGCGUAAAGGGCGCGUAGGUGGUUAGUUAAGUGAGUUGUGAAAUCCCUGGGCUUAACCUAGGAACUGCAACUUAUACUGACAGACUGGAGUACAGUAGAGGGUGGCGGAAUUUCCGGUGUAGCGGUGAAAUGCGUAGAUAUCGGAAGGAACACCAGUGGCGAAGGCGGCCACCUGGACUGAUACUGACACUGAGGCGCGAAAGCGUGGGGAGCAAACAGG